This 437-nucleotide ribosomal RNA is filed under the name uncultured bacterium. RNAcentral's name for it is "bacterial SSU rRNA". It matches the Rfam family "Bacterial small subunit ribosomal RNA", at positions 29 to 507 of the family's 1533-position model. The record is from RNAcentral.
AACGAACGCUGGCGGCAGGCCUAACACAUGCAAGUCGAGCGGGCAUCCUUCGGGAUGUUAGCGGCGGACGGGUGAGUAACGCGUGGGAACGUGCCCUUUGCUACGGAAUAGCCUCGGGAAACUGAGAGUAAUACCGUAUGUGCCCUUCGGGGGAAAGAUUUAUCGGCAAAGGAUCGGCCCGCGUUGGAUUAGGUAGUUGGUGGGGUAAUGGCCUACCAAGCCGACGAUCCAUAGCUGGUUUGAGAGGAUGAUCAGCCACACUGGGACUGAGACACGGCCCAGACUCCUACGGGAGGCAGCAGUGGGGAAUCUUAGACAAUGGGGGAAACCCUGAUCUAGCCAUGCCGCGUGAGCGAUGAAGGCCUUAGGGUUGUAAAGCUCUUUCAGUGGGGAAGAUAAUGACUGUACCCACAGAAGAAGCCCCGGCUAACUCCGUG